This 330-nucleotide ribosomal RNA is filed under the name uncultured eukaryote. RNAcentral describes it as "partial 18S ribosomal RNA". It matches the Rfam family "Eukaryotic small subunit ribosomal RNA", at positions 1470 to 1796 of the family's 1831-position model. The record is from RNAcentral.
CCCUUAGAUGUUCGGGGCCGCACGCGCGCUACACUGAAGGACUCAGCGUGCUCGUUGUCCUGGUCUGGAAAGACUGGGUAACCCGAUGAACCUCCUUCGUGCUAGGGAUUGGGGCUUGCAAUUCUUGCCCAUGAACGAGGAAUUCCCAGUAAGCGCGAGUCAUCAGCUCGUGUUGAUUACGUCCCUGCCCUUUGUACACACCGCCCGUCGCUACUACCGAUUGAAUGGUCCGGUGAAGCGUUCGGACCGUGGCCUUUGGACGGUUCGCCGUCUGUUGGCUGCGGGAAGUUCGUUAAACCUUAUCAUUUAGAGGAAGGAGAAGUCGUAACA